This 497-nucleotide ribosomal RNA is filed under the name uncultured bacterium. Its description in RNAcentral is "partial 16S ribosomal RNA". It matches the Rfam family "Bacterial small subunit ribosomal RNA", at positions 28 to 507 of the family's 1533-position model. The record is from RNAcentral.
GACGAACGCUGGCGGCGUGCCUAAUACAUGCAAGUUGAGCGCUGAAGGUUGGUACUUGUCCCAACUGGAUGAGCAGCGAACGGGUGAGUAACGCGUGGGGAAUCUGCCUUUGAGCGGGGGACAACAUUUGGAAACGAAUGCUAAUACCGCAUAAAAACUUUAAACACAAGUUUUAAGUUUGAAAGAUGCAAUUGCAUCACUCAAAGAUGAUCCCGCGUUGUAUUAGCUAGUUGGUGAGGUAAAGGCUCACCAAGGCGAUGAUACAUAGCCGACCUGAGAGGGUGAUCGGCCACAUUGGGACUGAGACACGCCCCAAACGCCUACGGGAGGCAGCAGUAGGGAAUCUUCGGCAAUGGACGAAAGUCUGACCGAGCAACGCGGCGUGAGUGAAGAAGGUUGUCGGAUCGUAAAACUCUGUUGGUAGAGAAGAACGUUGGUGAGAGUGGAAAGCUCAUCAAGUGACGGUAACUACCCAGAAAGGGACGGCUAACUACGUG